UUAUGGCUCAGGACGAACGCUGGCGGCGUGCCUAAUACAUGCAAGUCGAGCGGAAAUUUAUUGGUGCUUGCACCUUAAAUUUAGCGGCGGACGGGUGAGUAACACGUGGGUAACCUACCUUAUAGAUUGGGAUAACUCCGGGAAACCGGGGCUAAUACCGAAUAAUACUUUUUAACACAUGUUUGAAAGUUGAAAGACGGUUUCGGCUGUCACUAUAAGAUGGACCCGCGGCGCAUUAGCUAGUUGGUGAGGUAACGGCUCACCAAGGCAACGAUGCGUAGCCGACCUGAGAGGGUGAUCGGCCACACUGGGACUGAGACACGGCCCAGACUCCUACGGGAGGCAGCAGUAGGGAAUCUUCCACAAUGGACGAAAGUCUGAUGGAGCAACGCCGCGUUGAGUGAAGAAGGAUUUCGGUUCGUAAAACUCUGUUGCAAGGGAAGAACAAGUAGCGUAGUAACUGGCGCUACCUUGACGGUACCUUGUUAGAAAGCCACGGCUAACUACGUGCCAGCAGCGGC
Molecule: ribosomal RNA, 521 nt
Filed under: uncultured bacterium
Lineage: Bacteria
Description: bacterial SSU rRNA
Rfam family: Bacterial small subunit ribosomal RNA
Source: RNAcentral